RNAcentral lists this ribosomal RNA (464 nucleotides) under uncultured bacterium. Its description in RNAcentral is "partial 16S ribosomal RNA". It matches the Rfam family "Bacterial small subunit ribosomal RNA", at positions 28 to 507 of the family's 1533-position model. The record is from RNAcentral.
GACGAACGCUGGCGGCGUGCUUAACACAUGCAAGUCGUACGGUAAGGCCCUUUCGGGGGUACACGAGUGGCGAACGGGUGAGUAACACGUGAGUAACCUGCCCACAACUUUGGGAUAACGCUAGGAAACUGGUGCUAAUACUGGAUAUGUGCUCCUGCUGCAUGGUGGGGGUUGGAAAGCUCCGGCGGUUGUGGAUGGACUCGCGGCCUAUCAGCUUGUUGGUGGGGUAGUGGCCUACCAAGGCGGCGACGGGUAGCCGGCCUGAGAGGGUGACCGGCCAAGUGGGGAGUGAGACCGGCCCCAGACUCAGAGGGGGGGCAGAGGGGGGAAAUUGUGCACAGGGGGCCGAACCGUGAGGAACAACCGCCGGGGGGGGGAGGCGGGCUUGGGGUUUGAAACCCUUUUUCGCCGGGGACGAGGUGUGAGUGACGGUACUGGGUAAAGAAGCACCGGCUAACUACGUG